RNAcentral lists this ribosomal RNA (369 nucleotides) under uncultured bacterium. RNAcentral describes it as "bacterial SSU rRNA". It matches the Rfam family "Bacterial small subunit ribosomal RNA", at positions 365 to 732 of the family's 1533-position model. The record is from RNAcentral.
UGGUCAAUGGACGCAAGUCUGAACCAGCCAUGCCGCGUGAAGGAUGAAGGUCCUCUGGAUUGUAAACUUCUUUUAUCUGGGACGAAAACGGGAUUUUUAUCUCAAUUGACGGUACCAGAGGAAUAAGCACCGGCUAACUCCGUGCCAGCAGCCGCGGUAAUACGGAGGGUGCGAGCGUUAUCCGGAUUUCCUGGGCUUAAAGGGUGCGUAGGUGGGCUUAUAAGUCAGUGGUGAAAUCUCCGAGCUUAACUUGGAAACUGGCGGUGAUACUAUGGGUCUUGAAUUAUCUGGAGGUAAGCGGAGUAGGUCAUGUAGCGGUGAAAUGCUUCGAUAUGACAUAGGACACCAAUUGCGAAGGCAGCUUACGAC